Molecule: long non-coding RNA, 5063 nt
Organism: Cavia porcellus (domestic guinea pig)
Lineage: Eukaryota; Metazoa; Chordata; Mammalia; Rodentia; Caviidae
Exons: 4
Source: RefSeq, a predicted model, not a curated record
GACAGAGAGAUAGCAGAUAAAGGGGGGAGAGAGAGGGAGGCGAGACAGAGACAGAGAGAGGCAGAGAGAGAGACAGAGACAGAGAAUCAUUGUUCCACUUAGCAGAGGAGAGGCCUCUGGCUCGGCCCCAGUGGAGUGUGAGAGAGGAGUUCACUGGGGGAGGACACAGGACAUUUGGGGUCACUGUCACAGGGAGGGGCUUUCCAGCCUGACCAGGGAGCGAUUAGUGAGCCAAGAGACAGGAGAGGAGGAUGGGGCCUGCAAGACUGAGGAAGAAGCUCUUGGUAAGCGCUCCUGGUACCAGCUGGCUGGGAGGAGAACCAGAAGCAGCUACCUGUGACCCAGCCAGUUGGGACUUAGGCGGCUGCACAAGAAAGCAAUUUGCCUGCCUCUUGCUCCAAAGACCCUUUACUGAAAUCAGCAUGUAACAUUUUAGUCCUCCAUUUGAAUAAAUUUCAGCUCUGCUGAUGGCUGAUGAGGUAAAGGAUUCACAGGGACAAGAACUCUUCCCAGCCACAAAAGAGGUUCCAACUGACCACUGCGGACGUCCUCAGGGCUGCUGUCCCAUCUUCUUCUGGCAACCUUGGUGUCUGAGGUGUGGAUCAUGUCCUUAUUGAUGUAGAAGUCCACCUCAGAAGCAGACUGGAACUCGCCGUCCAGGGUGGAGAUGCCACUGGUCCACACUAGGUUCUUCAUCUUGUGCUUGAAGACAAGCAGCUGAAUGCGGAACUCCUGCUCAGUGAGGUCCAGGAAGCCAGCCAGCUUGGCCACAGGCAUGGUGGUGUAGAGCUUGAGGAAGCUGCGGAUGGUGAGAGCUGGGCCUGCUGCUGCACCUCGUUGGAGAACACCUUGAGCUGCUGCAGGAAGGGCUCCUUGUGGUAGUUAGGGUGCACGUUGUCCAUGGGUGACAGGAACUUGGGGCAGGAGUAGCUGAAGAGCUCCUCGUAGACCUGCGGGUCGCCCUUCUGCAUGCGCAGCAUUUUGUCCCCAUACUUCUCCCGCAGCUGCAGGUGGAUGCUCUCGUCCAUCCGCAUGGGGUACCUGGUGAGGGCGAUGGCCAGCAGCGCGUGCAUCUGCUCGUUCUGCUUGUUGAUCAUCUCAUACUUGUACGUGGUCCUCUGGAACAUGCUCUUGGUCCUCUGGAUGUAAAGGAGGAUGUUGGCAAAGACCCAGAUGGCAUCCUGGUAGCGUCGCAUCAUCAAAUAUGCAAACCCCACAUAGUAGUAGGUGGUGACCUGGCACUCGGGCACACGGGAGUACAUACUCUUUUUGUUCAGCUCAAUGUUCUCCAGCACCUUGAUGGCCUGGUAGUAAUCCCCCAGCAGCGAGUGCAGGUGCAGCAGUCCCACUAGGCUGAAGUAGCCCAGCAUCUUGUAGAGGGAGUGACAUCCAUACUCCCCUGCCACACUCUCGGGGUCACCUCCGCUCGUGUACACCUCCAGCUGCCGGUUGAUGUUGGAUUUGUCCACCAGGGAGUGAAGGAUGUUGAGGACACUGUGGACAUUCCAGAUUUUGGGGUUGGAUCACAGGAAAUCAAUCUCCUCCUCUGACUUCUUGGCCGUCUUACAGUGGUACUGACUAAAUGACUGGAACUGGUACAUAAAUUCAUCGAUGAUAUCCCAGAGCCACUGGUUGGGCAGUUUAAGGGGGGCAGGCCCAUCUGCACUGAGGAUGUAGUUGAAGAGGUUGCAGUAGUUGUAAGAGGACUCAAACCUCUGCUGUAAGGAGGGUCCCCCUCUGACUUUGGCAUAUAUGUGUCUGUAAUAUAAUUCUUUGUACAAAAUCAGGAAGACAGCAUCGUUGCCAACCUGUGGAGCUAUGGCUUCGGCCUCAGGCCAAGUAGUAUUGUUAAAGAAUCUUUUAGUCAGCUUGGUCCAGCUGUUCUCAUAGAUGUCCUGGAUCUCAUACACCUUCUGGUCAAUGACAUCACUAGAGAUGCGACUGGCCUGAAGCUCGUAUACCUUCUGGUCAAUCAAAUCUGAGACAGUUUUGUGGAAAUAGUGGGUGAAGAGUUUUUGAUCACUUCAGGGAUCACCUGAUAGGUCUGUUGUUCAUACUCAUGUUCAUAAGCAAGGUCCUGCUUUGGAUCUCCUGUGUGCAUAUCAUAGUUGCCAGGGUAAGCGUAGGGAUCGUAAGCAGCCUCAGACUCAUAGUCAUCAGCUGGAUAAGACAUGGCUGCGGCACGAGUGAACCACCAGGAGACUAAUGGCACGCCUACCACAUGGUUUUCCAGGGACACUUGUACGACUUCAAUUUCCUACGAAAUCAAGUGGACAGUAUCCUAGAGGGUCUCCAGGCACAACGGACCUUACUUUAGAAGCAAAACAUAUGUGUUUACCAAUUCUAGUUAAACCUGAGACCCUCAGAGAAGAAUCCCCUCUUAUCUUCCUUUGAAAACCAGAAACAAAAUUACUGACCAAGUUCUUCAGAAACUGCUUCGUGGUGAAGGGCUCUUUCCAUCCAGUGUAGGACCACGGUCGUGAGGAUCAGCUCUGCGAUGGUGCUGAGCAGUAAAUAGUGUAUGAGCAUCAUGCCAGCCAUCUGCAGUGGGAAGACGAGAUAUUCCACACGUCAGCAAGCCAUGGAAAGCCGCGCUAGAACAACAUUUACCAAACAGGGAGUAGGUAUCAUUUAUCAUGGCAGUUUCACAUGACUGUGAUUGUUUCUGAGUAUUUUUCAUAACAACAAGUACAUUUUAAGUUGACUACUUCUGUACAUACCUCUGAAGCACUUUAAUUCUAAGAGCAACCCUGCAAGCGGACACCAAUAUUCCUAUUUUACACAGGACAAGGCUGGAAAGUAGAGAUCAGAGACUGGCACCAUACUCAGCUGGAGCUCUGCAGAAGUUGGCCCCGGAGCUCUUGUGUUUCUCGCUUGCUUCAGUGAGGCUGAUCAGAUGACUAUGCCCAAUGCUAUGUGGCUUAGCUGUGUGUUCUGUUUUCAUUACUUUCCAUGGCCUGCGUGUUAUUUCAUGAAUCAGGUGCAGUGCUCUCUCCACGUUCCUAGCAAAACCUAGAGGAAGUGUUUCUUCUUUCUCAGAAACAGGUGAAAAGAGUUUGCAGUAUUUCUCCUUUGUGUCCACUCACAUCUCCCCACAUCAAGAGCAAGGACUUGGGUGAGCAGUAAUUUGGAGAGAAGGAACUCAGACCUUUCCUCUUUCCCCCCACCUGGAAAGGGCUCUGUUUGUAAUGCCAACUUCUUCCCUUCAAUGUCAGAUAAUUGUCUGCGCUCCAGGAAACCCUGGCCUGCAGUCUCUCUAGGUGGAGAAGCCUAACUGGGACCUACCUAGGUGAAUGUAUUUAAGUCAGGAAGGGCAGUGCCAGCGAGUUCAUUUGGCUAAAGACUUGAAACUUGCUCUCCCACAGUGAUCAUCAGCACAAAGGCUGGUAGCUUUGUCUACUUUCUCUUGAUCUUGUAUCUCAUUUUCCUUGGUUCAGGACGUGAGAAAGGGAGAACUGGAGGUGCAACCCGAGACAGCACACUUAUCUGAACCACCAAUGGAACCCCACUCUUGCAAGAGAAAGUGGACUUCAGACUCCAACAUAACAUGCACUGUAUCAAAACCAUCAAUCAGAGCUAAAGAAGCCAUAGGGAAAAUGUACUGAGAAGUCCAAUUGGAAUGAAGCUCAACACUACCCAACAAAUCAAUAUCCCAAGACAUAUCAUCAAGAAAAGAGUGCUCCUCAAGGAGGACCUUACAUAAAAGUGGGAGAGAUCCAGUCCCACGGAUGUGCAUAUCUCAACAGAGAAAUACAAAAAAUGUGAAAAAACAAGGAACCACUGAUCCUCCAAAGAUUCCUAAGUCUAGUAACUGCUUCCAAAGUUGCUGAAGUAGAUAAAACAUUUACAAAGAAAUUUAAAAAUGAUUUAAAAUGUUAGAUUCAAAAGGGAUAUAAAUAAAUAGCUGAAUGAAUUAAAAAAGAUAAUGUGGGCUAUGAAAGAGCAAUUCAAUAAAGAGGUAGAGAUUUUGAAAAAAGAACCAAACAGAAAUCUUAGAAAUGAAAAGCUCAAUAAGGCAAUUAAAAAAAAACUCAGUUGAAAGCCUAGUAGACAAGGCCAAGUAGAAGAAAAAAAUAGCAGGGCUUGAUAAAAAGGGGUGAUGAAUUAUCACACUCAGAAAGUAAAGAAGAGAAAAGAAACAGCAAAACAUGCAAGAUCUACAGAACACAAUUAAAAAUAUCAAACAUGUAUAACUGGAAUAAAUGAGUGAGAAUAGUUACAGGCUAAUAGCAUAAGAACCCUAAUCAGUGAGAUAACAGAAAUAUCUCCAAAUCUUGGGGAAGGUGUGGAUGUCCAGAUACAGAAGGCAUUUAGAACUUCAAACAGACACAGUCAGAAAAGAACCUUCCCUGGCAUAAGAUAGUAAAACUGCUAAAAAUUUAAGAACAAAGAAAGAUUGUUAAAAGCUGCAGAUGAGAAAUGUUAAGUCACAUAAAGGCAAACCCAUAAGAAAAACAGAUUUCUCAGCAGAAACUGUAAAUACCAAAAAGGAAGGGAGUAAUGUAUUUCAAGAUGCAAGAGAAAAUACUGUCAACCUAGACUACUGUAUUCAGUAAGGUCAUUUUUAAGAAUCAAAGUAGAAGUAAAAGCCUUCUAACAUAAGCACAGACUAAAGGAAUUUAUGAAUACAAAACUAACAUUAUGUAUACAAAACUGUGAGAGUAUAAGAAGAAUAAAAUUCAUUAGGAUAGUAAAUGAGCAAAUAAGAAUUAGAAAAGAAUCAAACAUUAUUCUACUGAAAUCUCUAAGAUAAACAGUAGAGAAAUAAAUGAACAUAAAUUAUUCAAAAUAACCAGAAGAAAAACAACAUGACACGAACUAGUAUACACAUUCAAUAAUAAACCUGAGUGUAAAUGGUCUGAAUUCUACAAUGAAGAGCUGACAAAUGGCUGAAUGCAUUCAAAAAGAAAGGCCCAACAACAAGCUGCCUUCAAGAAACUCACCUUGCUGCCAAAACCAUACACAGACUGAAAGUGAAAGGACAGAAAAUGACGUUUCAUGAUGUAGUGGCUACCUGGGUAAUGUUAGAACUUAAAGGUAAAAUAAAAAUCCCUUAAUGCCCA